This 787-nucleotide ribosomal RNA is filed under the name uncultured bacterium. RNAcentral's name for it is "bacterial SSU rRNA". It matches the Rfam family "Bacterial small subunit ribosomal RNA", at positions 8 to 796 of the family's 1533-position model. The record is from RNAcentral.
AGAGUUUGAUCCUGGCUCAGGAUGAACGCUGGCGGCGUGCUUAACACAUGCAAGUCGAACGGGCCAUAUUCGUAUGGUUAGUGGCAGACGGGUGCGUAACACGUAGGUGACCUGCCUCGGAGUGGGGAACAACUCCGCGAAAGCGGAGCUAAUACCGCAUAGGCUCGGCGAGUCGUAUCGUCGAGUAAAGGCGUAAGCUGCUUCGAGAUGGGCCUGCGGCGGAUUAGCUAGUUGGUGGGGUAACGGCCUACCAAGGCGAUGAUCCGUAGGGGGCGUGAGAGCGUGGCCCCCCACAUUGGCACUGAGACACGGGCCAGACUCCUACGGGAGGCAGCAGUGAGGAAUAUUGCGCAAUGGGGGCAACCCUGACGCAGCGACGCCGCGUGAGUGAGGAAGGCCUUCGGGUCGUAAAGCUCUGUCAGCAGGGAAGAAGUGCAUGAUGGCUAAUAUCCAUUGUGUUUGACGGUACCUGCAAAGGAAGCACCGGCUAACUCCGUGCCAGCAGCCGCGGUAAUACGGAGGGUGCGAGCGUUGUUCGGAAUCACUGGGCGUAAAGGGCGCGUAGGCGGUCUUAUAAGUCAGAUGUGAAAGCCCACGGCUUAACUGUGGAAGAGCAUUUGAAACUGCAAGACUUGAGUACCAGAGGGGAAAGUGGAAUUCCCGGUGUAGAGGUGAAAUUCGUAGAUAUCGGGAGGAAUACCGGUGGCGAAGGCGACUUUCUGGCUGGAUACUGACGCUGAGGCGCGAAAGCGUGGGGAGCAAACAGGAUUAGAUACCCUGGUAGUCC